RNAcentral lists this ribosomal RNA (503 nucleotides) under Helicobacter pylori. Its description in RNAcentral is "bacterial LSU rRNA". It matches the Rfam family "Bacterial large subunit ribosomal RNA", at positions 1783 to 2284 of the family's 2925-position model. Lineage: Bacteria; Pseudomonadati; Campylobacterota; Epsilonproteobacteria; Campylobacterales; Helicobacteraceae. The record is from RNAcentral.
AAAGAGUCCCUCCCGACUGUUUACCAAAAACACAGCACUUUGCCAACUCGUAAGAGGAAGUAUAAGGUGUGACGCCUGCCCGGUGCUCGAAGGUUAAGAGGAUGCGUCAGUCGCAAGAUGAAGCGUUGAAUUGAAGCCCGAGUAAACGGCGGCCGUAACUAUAACGGUCCUAAGGUAGCGAAAUUCCUUGUCGGUUAAAUACCGACCUGCAUGAAUGGCGUAACGAGAUGGGAGCUGUCUCAACCAGAGAUUCAGUGAAAUUGUAGUGGAGGUGAAAAUUCCUCCUACCCGCGGCAAGACGGAGAGACCCCGUGGACCUUUACUACAACUUAGCACUGCUAAUGGGAAUAUCAUGCGCAGGAUAGGUGGGAGGCUUUGAAGUAAGGGCUUUGGCUCUUAUGGAGCCAUCCUUGAGAUACCACCCUUGAUGUUUCUGUUAGCUAACUGGCCUGUGUUAUCCACAGGCAGGACAAUGCUUGGUGGGUAGUUUGACUGGGGCGGUC